This 331-nucleotide unclassified non-coding RNA is filed under the name Hevea brasiliensis (rubber tree). The record is from RNAcentral. Lineage: Eukaryota; Viridiplantae; Streptophyta; Magnoliopsida; Malpighiales; Euphorbiaceae.
UGCAGUGGUUGAUCAACCUCCUUAUAUGGAGACAUGGUCUGAUGAUUAUAGCAAAAAUACUCUCACUAACCCUAGCAUUCAUAUGGAUUCAAAAGAUGUUCACUUAUCUCACAGGGAGCAAGACUUCAGUGAUUUUGACCUGCAGCACCUUAUUUUACAGAAUUUGCAAAAAGAACAAGUUCAGCCACAGAAUAAUUUAUCUACACAUUCCCUCUCACAUGGCACCAGAUUGGGCAUUGAAGAAAUUCCUUCUAAUUUUUUGAAACUGCAGUUUCAACAACAGCAGCAAUUAGAGCUUCAACAACAACAGAGAUUGGAGCUUCAACAACAG